GCGGGUGUAGCACAGUGGUAGUGCUCUAGCCUUCCAAGCUAGCCACGUGGGUUCGAUUCCCAUCGCCCGCUCCA
RNAcentral lists this transfer RNA (74 nucleotides) under Chloroflexota bacterium. RNAcentral describes it as "tRNA-Gly". It matches the Rfam family "tRNA". From Rfam's summary of the family: Transfer RNA (tRNA) molecules are approximately 80 nucleotides in length. Their secondary structure includes four short double-helical elements and three loops (D, anti-codon, and T loops). Lineage: Bacteria; Bacillati; Chloroflexota. The record is from RNAcentral.